RNAcentral lists this ribosomal RNA (1052 nucleotides) under uncultured organism. RNAcentral describes it as "bacterial SSU rRNA". It matches the Rfam family "Bacterial small subunit ribosomal RNA", at positions 348 to 1411 of the family's 1533-position model. The record is from RNAcentral.
GCAGCAAUUAGGAAUAGUCGGCAAUGGGCGAAAGCCUGACCGCGCAAUGCCGCGUGUAGGAAGACGCUCUAACGAGUGUAAACUACUGUGGCGAGGGAAGAAGUCUUCGGAUUGACGGUACCUCGCUAGAAAGGGGCCGCUAACUGCGUGCCAGAAGCGUCGGUAAGACGUGGGCCCCGAGCGUUAUCCGGUGUUACUGGGCGUAAAGAGUCGUGUAGGCGGUUCGAAAAGUUACCUUUUAAAUCCCAAUGCUCAACAUUGGAACUGGAGGUAAUACUCUCGAACUAGAGUUUUCUACAGGGUGAAUGGAACUGUGGGAGGAGUAGUGAAAUGCGUUGAUCCCCACGGGAACACCAGUGGCGAAGGCGGUUCACUGGUAGAAGACUGACGCUGAGACACGAAAGCUAGGGUAUCGAAGCAGAUUAGAGACCUGCGUAGUCCUAGCCGUAAACGCAUGCUUGCUGGCUGCAUUUCCGCCCCUUCGGGGGUUAGGUGUGGCGAAGGUAACCCGUUAAGCAAGCCGCCUGGGGAUUACGGUCGCAAGACUAAAACUCAAAGGAAUUGGCGGGGAGGCACACAACCAGUGGAACAUGUGGUUUAAUUCGAAACAAACCGAAGAACCUCACCUGGGUUUGACAUGUAGCUGCUCAUCCUAUGAAAGUAGGACUCCUUCGAGGGUGCUACACAGGUGCUGCAUGGCUGUCGUCAGUUCGUUCCGUGAGGAGUGCCCUUAAGUGGGACAACGAACGCAACCCCCAUCGUAUGUUAUAUCUGUCAUACGAAACUGCCUUGCCGUUGGCGAGGAGGAAGGAGGGGCAGACGUCAAGUCUGCAUGGUCCUUAUGCCCAGGGCUACACACAUGUUACAAUGAGAAGGAACAAUGAGCAUUGCGAACUCGCGAGGGUAAGCAAAUCUCAGAAAUCUUCUCUCAGUGGGGAUUGGAGUCUGCAAUUCGACUCCAUGAACGCGGAAUUGGUAGUAAUCGCGGGUCAGCUAUACCGCGGUGAUACGUUCUUGCCUCUUGCACACACCGCCCGUCAAGCCAACAAAGU